This 203-nucleotide long non-coding RNA is filed under the name Elaeis guineensis (African oil palm). RNAcentral describes it as "long non-coding RNA (EGUI_LNC074506)". Lineage: Eukaryota; Viridiplantae; Streptophyta; Magnoliopsida; Arecales; Arecaceae. The record is from RNAcentral.
UAUAUUUUUCAUAAACACAUUUGGACCUCCCUAAAAAAAAUAGCAUAUCUUGAAACAUAGAUUUCUCAUUACAAUUCAUAUAGUACUAUUACCAGUUGCUCCAAAAUGGUAAGAUCGAGGAUCAUAUGCAUCUAGAUGAUCCAGAUAGUAUUAUAAAAACUACUAACUCUAAAACUGAAUCAGGAGACUAUCUACAACCCACC